This 643-nucleotide long non-coding RNA is filed under the name Androctonus crassicauda. The record is from RNAcentral. Lineage: Eukaryota; Metazoa; Arthropoda; Arachnida; Scorpiones; Buthidae.
GAGAGAUUUCUUUACAAAAAUUUCAUUUUGACAAUUUUAUAGAGAGAGAAUACCUUUGAUAAAAAUAAUCUGGAUAAUAUGGAUAUAGUUCUUAAAUACUGUUGUAGUUUACUUGGAAAGCUAGAAUAAUGUCAGGAACAAAGGAUGAGAUUGACAUUGGCUUCCUUGACAAUCGGAAUGAAUGGUGGAGAUGAACAGCAAAGACAGUCAGUGGAGAUGAAUGGGUAGGUCUUACAGCAGAGACACUGUAGAUCUGCACAAUGCACCGACUAAACCAAUUCCUAUUGACCACCCUUCAAAAAUCCCAUGAGAGCUUUUAUAUUGGCUCCAAUAACGAUGACCUUCCACCUUCAUAAGAGAAAGAUGGGAUGUUAUUUCUUCAAUAAGAAGAUGUUAUUUAGGACACUAAACAUCACCCGACACCUGUGUGUACUUUUACAACAUGAUUUGAUUCUGUCAGGGACAAGAGUCCAUGUAUUGGACUAUAUGAUACAUUAUUAUAUAUCGCCUUUCAAUGUGUCUUUCUCUCCCCUCUAAAUUCCUUUUUCCAUCUCUCUCCCCUUUUUUAUCCAAUAAUGUAAUCUAGAGGUGAGGAAAGACACAUCACAUCCAACCUAAACCUAAAUCCUGUCAGAUCGGAAGA